GCAUGCCUAAUGUCACAAGCUGAUCCAAAUGAGCCUCCCCAUGGCCUUAUAUAGGGUCAGGAAGCUUCUGGAGACUCCUAGAGGGGGAAGAGUGUGGAAGGUUCUAGAGAAGUCUGGAGGAAUCCACACAAUUCUACACUAUGGUGGAAGGCACAAGAGGAGUCUGGGGCUUUCUAGAGAAAUCUAGAAGACUCUUGUAUAUACUUGUAUAUAGGCUUGUACCUAGAAUGGUGUAGGACAUUCUAGAAUAGUCUUGAGAUGUAAGGAACCCUCCAAGGUUCCAGAGAGUUCCAUUGGUGCCUAUAAAUAGGUGAGGGCCUCAUUUGGCCAAGGCACCAAGCAAGUGAGCAUCCAAGCACUUGUAAAGGCUUUCUUGAGAUAAUAAAGCUUCCAUUCUUUAAGGAGUUGCCUACCAAGCUUCUUAAGCUUUUGAGUUGCAAGUGUCUUAGCCUAGCAAGCUAAGCAUUGGGGAGCAAGGCUGACUUAGCAAGAUCAAGCGUCUUGGCUUGUCUAAGUGCCGCACGAGCUUAGUGAACGACUAAGUUCGUGACAAGUGGUAUCAGAGCGCGGUUACCAGGUGGGCAUACCAAAGGAAGCAUGUCGGGCUCUAAUGUGGAGGAGACUAGCGAGCAAACCCGUGGACGGGAGAUGGAGCAUACUACACGGGGCCGAGGCAGGAAGGAUAAGUCUCGUGACGCCUUAGCCAACAUGGAGGCAAGGCUAGCCAAGGUGGAGCUAGCCAUGGCGGAUACUCGGGAAGGGGUGGACUUGGUAGAGCAAGGCAUGGAGAAGGGCUUAGAGGAUCUAAGGGAGCAGAUCCAAGACCUUCGCGAGGGCGUGCUAGGUUCACAAGUUCAGCCGGUGUCACACGAGGAGUUCAUGUCCUUCCAAGACAAGGUCAUGACCAUGUUCGCUAGUGUGGAGUCAAGGAUGGAGGCCUUGGCUGCACGCAUGGAUGCCCGAGACCAAGAGAUCCGUCAAGAGCUGGCCAUCUACAAGACUGCGGUGUUAGCACGAGUCAUGGCCACUCAUGAGGCACCAAGGGUGGAGGUACCUAAGCCACACACGUUCAGUGGCAAGAGGGAUGCAAAGGAGCUGGAUAACUUCUUGUGGCACAUGGAGCGUUACUUUGAGGCAAUUGCAUUAAUGGAUGAAGCCACUAAGGUACGCACCGCGACCCUUUACCUCACUGAUAAUGCUACUCUAUGGUGGCGUCGACGGUUUGCCGACAUAGAGAGAGGGACGUGCACCAUAGACACAUGGGAUGCCUUUAAGAGAGAAAUCAAGAGGCAAUUCUAUCCGGAAGACGUGGCUUACCUCGCAAGGAAGAGUCUAAAGCGUCUCAAGCACACGGGCUCGAUCCGUGAGUAUGUCAAAGAAUUCUCUACUCUUAUGCUUGAGAUACCUAACAUGGCUGAGGAGGAGUUGUUGUUCAACUUCAUGGACAACUUGCAAAGCUGGGCCGAGCAAGAGUUGAGGAGACGUGGCAUCCAAGACCUAGCCACGGCCAUGGCAGUAGCCGAGUCCUUAGUGGAUUAUAGAAGGGGAGACUCCUCCAAGCCCAAGCCACCAUCCAAGGGUAACCAGGCCAAAGGUGGGGGAGACAAGAGGUCGCAAGGCCAAACUUCUAAGGAAGGAUCGAGCAAGGGCCCUAGUGGCAAGGACGGCAAAGGCAAGGACAAGCGAAAGGAGUUCACGCCCAAGACCAAUUGCUUCCUGUGCGAUGGUCCGCACUGGGCACGGGACUGCCCUAAGAGGAAGGCCUUAAAUGCUAUGAUCGAAGAAAAGGAGCAAGAAGGCGAUGCUAAGAUGGGAUCGUUGCAGCUCCUAAAUGCCCUUAAGGCCAAGCCGAUGCCUAAGACACCUCAAAGCAAAGGACUGAUGUAUGUGGAGGCCCUGGUGAAUGGAAAGGCCACCAAGGCCCUGGUGGACACAGGUGCCACUCACAACUUUGUCUCGGAGGAGGAGGCAAGAAGGUUGGAGCUCCAAGCAUCCAAGGAAGGAGGAUGGCUCAAGGCAGUCAAUUCAGCAGCCAAGCCAUCACAUGGAGUAGCUCGCGGGGUGACUAUGCACAUUGGCUCGUGGGAAGGAAAGGUCGACUUCACGGUGGCACCCAUGGACGACUUCAAGAUGGUGCUAGGAAUGGACUUCCUACAGAAGGUCAAAGCCGUGCCACUACCUUUCUUACGUUCAAUGGCUAUCCUAGAGGAGGAGAAGCCAUGCAUGGUCCCUACGGUCACUGAAGGUACGCUCAAAACCCCUAUGUUAUCCGCUAUGCAAGUAAAGAAGGGGUUAAAGAGGGAAGAGGUGACCUACCUCGCCACCUUAAAGGAAGAGAAGAAUGAUGGGUCGGAAGAACCCAUGCCUAAGGAAAUUGAGGGGGUCCUUGAUGAAUUCAAGGACGUAAUGCCGCCCGAGUUGCCUAAGAGACUUCCUCCUAGGAGAGAGGAAGAUCACAAGAUUGAGUUGGAGCCGGGAGCCAAGCCCCCUGCUAUGGGGCCAUAUAGGAUGGCACCACCCGAGUUGGAGGAGCUAAGGAGACAACUCAAGGAGUUACUAGAUGCGGGGUUCAUCCAACCGUCCAAGGCUCCCUAUGGCGCGCCGGUUCUAUUUCAGAAGAAGCAUGAUGGGUCCCUACGUAUGUGCAUAGAUUACCGAGCACUCAAUAAGGUGACGGUGAAGAACAAGUAUCCCAUCCCGCUCAUUGCUGACUUGUUCGAUCAACUCGGAAGGGUAAGGUACUUCACGAAGCUGGACCUAAGGUCAGGCUACUAUCAAGUCAGGAUUGCGGAGGGAGAUGAGCCAAAGACUACAUGUGUGACCAGGUAUGGCUCAUAUGAGUUCUUAGUGAUGCCUUUCGGACUCACUAAUGCCCCAGCAACGUUCUGCACCCUCAUGAACAAGAUCUUCCACCCAUACUUGGACAAGUUCGUGGUGGUGUACUUGGAUGACAUAGUCAUCUAUAAUAACACUCUAAAGGAGCACGUAGAGCACUUGAGGAAGGUCUUUGAGAUCUUGAGGCAGAACGAGCUAUACGUAAAGAAGGAGAAGUGCUCGUUUGCGAAGGAGGAAGUGAGCUUCCUAGGGCAUCGCAUCAGAAAUGGCAAGCUGAUGAUGGAUGAUAGUAAGGUGAAGGCCAUCCAGGAAUGGGAUCCACCAACCAAGGUACCUCAACUCAGAUCUUUCCUUGGUUUAGUUAAUUAUUACCGGCGGUUCAUAAAGGGUUAUUCGGCAAGGGCUGCCCCACUCACUGAUCUUCUUAAGAAGAGUAAGGCAUGGGAAUGGGAUGAAAGGUGCCAACAAGCCUUUGAGGACCUGAAGAAGGCCGUGACUGAGGAGCCAGUGUUGGCACUACCCGACCACACCAAGGUCUUUGAGGUACACACAGAUGCCUCAGACUUCGCUAUUGGGGGAGUCCUUAUGCAAGAAAGGCACCCAAUCGCAUUUGAGAGUCGCAAGCUGAACGACACGGAAAGGCGUUACACGGUGCAGGAAAAGGAGAUGACUGCCAUCAUCCACUGCUUGCGCACUUGGAGGCACUAUCUACUAGGGUCUCACUUCAUAGUGAAGACCGACAAUGUGGCCACUAACUACUUCCAGACACAGAAGAAGCUGAGUCCUAAACAAGCUAGGUGGCAAGACUUCCUGGCCGAGUUCGACUAUACGCUGGAGUAUAAGCCAGGAAGUGCUAAUCAUGUGGCCGACGCCCUAAGUCGCAAAGCCGAGCUAGCGUCCAUGUCGAGUCAGCCCCAAGGAGAUAUAGUGGAUCUUCUAAGGGAGGGACUGCAACAUGAUCCAGUGGCUAAGAGCCUUAUCGCCCUGGCUCAUGAAGGAAAGACUAAGCGGUUUUGGGUGGAGGAUGGCCUACUCUAUACAAAGGGGAGACGACUCUACGUGCCUAAGUGGGGGAAUAUAAGGAGGAACCUGAUUAAGGAGUGCCACGACACCAAGUGGGCUGGGCACCCUGGGCAACGACGCACUAGGGCACUACUCGAGUCGGCAUACUAUUGGCCUCAGAUACGGGACGAGGUUGAGGCCUAUGUGAGGACUUGUCUUGUGUGCCAACAAGACAAGGUGGAGCAGCGACAACCUAGAGGCCUGUUAGAGCCACUACCUAUAGCAGAACGCCCAUGGGACAGCGUCACCAUGGACUUCAUCAUCGGGCUACCCAAGUCAGAGGACAAUGGGUCUAUCAUAGUGGUGGUGGACAGGUUCUCUAAAUAUGCAACCUUCAUAGCAGCCCCGACUGACUGCACGGCGGAAGAGACAGCCAGGCUAUUCCUAAAGCACGUAGUCAAGUAUUGGGGGUUGCCUAAGUUCAUCAUCAGUGAUCGCGACCCGCGCUUCACUGGGAGGUUUUGGACGAAACUCUUCAAGCUUAUGGGUUCGGAGCUUCACUUCUCCACAAGCUUUCACCCACAGACGGAUGGGCAGACUGAGAGGGUGAACGCCUUAUUGGAGCUCUACCUAAGACACUUCGUGAGUGCCAACCAGAAGGAUUGGGCUAAGUUGCUAGAUGUAGCCCAGUUCUCAUACAACCUACAAAGGAGUGAGGCGACCAACAAGAGUCCGUUUGAGCUAGCUACGGGACAGCAACCGUUAACUCCUCACACCCUAACAAUUGGCUACACGGGGAAAAGUCCAGCGGCUUUCAAGUUCGCAAAAGGGUGGCACGAGCAAGCUGAUAUAGCACGCUCAUACUUGGACAAGGCCGCUAAGAAAAUGAAGAAGUGGGCUGACAAAAAGCGACGACACACGGAGUAUAAGGUCGGAGACAUGGUGCUUGUCAAGCUCCUUCCUCAACAAUUCAAGUCCCUAAGGCCGGUGCAUAAGGGCCUUGUGAGGAGGUAUGAAGGACCCUUCCCCAUACUUGGGAAGGUCGGCAAGGUAUCCUAUAAAGUCGAGCUGCCCCCGAGGUUGAAGAUUCAUCCUGUCUUCCACGCCAGCUACUUGAAGCCCUAUCAUGAAGACAAGGAUGAUCCAAGCCGAGGGUUGUCCAAGAGGGCACCUACAGCGGUCGUGACCUCCUAUGAUAAGGAGGUAGAAAUCAUCCUCGCAGACCGGGUCAUCAGGAGACGAGGAGUACCUCCUGCUACGGAAUACUUAGUGAAAUGGAAGGGACUACCAGAAAGCGAGGCCAGCUGGGAGCCAGCAGGGGCACUAUGGCAGUUCCAGGAGCAGAUCGAGCGGUUCCGGGCAGAAGGCGCGACGAGGACGUCUGCGGCAUAGGUGGGGGAGAGUGUCACAAGCUGAUCCAAAUGAGCCUCCCCAUGGCCUUAUAUAGGGCCAGGAAGCUUCUGGAGACUCAUAGAGGGGGAAGAGUGUGGAAGGUUCUAGAGAAGUCUGGAGGAAUCCACACAAUUCUACACUAUGGUGAAAGGCACAAGAGGAGUCCGGGGCUUUCUAGAGAAAUCUAGAAGACUCUUGUAUAUACUUGUAUAUAGGCUUGUACCUAGAAUGGUGUAGGACAUUCUAGAAUAGUCUUGAGAUGUAAGGAACCCUCCAAGGUUCCAGAGAGUUCCAUUGGUGCCUAUAAAUAGGUGAGGGCCUCAUUUGGCCAAGGCACCAAGCAAGUGAGCAUCCAAGCACUUGUAAAGGCUUUCUUGAGAUAAUAAAGCUUCCAUUCUUUAAGGAGUUGCCUACCAAGCUUCUUAAGCUUUUGAGUUGCAAGUGUCUUAGCCUAGCAAGCUAAGCAUUGGGGAGCAAGGCUGACUUAGCAAGAUCAAGCGUCUUGGCUUGUCUAAGUGCCGCACGAGCUUAGUGAACGACUAAGUCCGUGACA
RNAcentral lists this long non-coding RNA (5782 nucleotides) under Vitis vinifera (wine grape). RNAcentral describes it as "long non-coding RNA (VVIN_LNC004743)". The record is from RNAcentral. Lineage: Eukaryota; Viridiplantae; Streptophyta; Magnoliopsida; Vitales; Vitaceae.